GGGUGAUUAGCUCAGCUGGGAGAGCACCUCCCUUACAAGGAGGGGGUCGGCGGUUCGAUCCCGUCAUCAUGCG
RNAcentral lists this transfer RNA (73 nucleotides) under Klebsiella pneumoniae subsp. pneumoniae. RNAcentral's name for it is "tRNA-Val". It matches the Rfam family "tRNA". Rfam says of the family: Transfer RNA (tRNA) molecules are approximately 80 nucleotides in length. Their secondary structure includes four short double-helical elements and three loops (D, anti-codon, and T loops). The record is from RNAcentral. Lineage: Bacteria; Pseudomonadati; Pseudomonadota; Gammaproteobacteria; Enterobacterales; Enterobacteriaceae.